GGAAGGAUCAUAUUUCCUGAAAGAAAGGAUCAUAAGCACUAUUGUUUUCUUUAAGGAAGAAACUCACAGAGCCAAAAGGAUUCUUCUCAUAUAAUGAAAAAAUGAUACCCUGAAAUCUUCACUGAUGUCCCUUUUAACACAAAAUAAGCUUGCAUAAUGUGCAUGAUGGCACAUCCACAGGUGCAUAGCUUCUGGUUAGUGUCAAUGUAGAGAUUGUUUCCCCUUUGUUGUAGGACUA
RNAcentral lists this long non-coding RNA (238 nucleotides) under Chinchilla lanigera (long-tailed chinchilla). RNAcentral's name for it is "lncRNA (ENSCLAG00000024292.1)". The record is from RNAcentral. Lineage: Eukaryota; Metazoa; Chordata; Mammalia; Rodentia; Chinchillidae.